This is a long non-coding RNA of Lycium ferocissimum, 606 nucleotides long. RefSeq lists it as uncharacterized. The record is from RefSeq and is a predicted model, not a curated record. Lineage: Eukaryota; Viridiplantae; Streptophyta; Magnoliopsida; Solanales; Solanaceae. The transcript has 2 exons.
UUAGAGCUGGAGUUUUGCCUUCUUUUACUAGCUCUGACCUUAUAGAGCGAGGAAAGAGGUCGGAAAUAUCUUUUGCAGAGGGGUCUAAUUAGUAAGCUUCAGAAAUUUCCUUGAGCUUGGCUAAUAUGAAAGGAAAUAACUUAUCUUCUCUUAUGUUAAUUGUAAAUUACUGUGUGUACUAAUAUAUAUGAUCUUUUCACAUGUUUUGUUCUUGCUCUUGGACCCAGAAAUCUUAACAGGAUAAUGGCACUAGCUUGAGAUAUGACAAUUAGUUCGAUGCAAGAAGAAUGGCCAUUAGGUAGUGUUGAACUACAGCUCUUCAUUUCAGCAGAUCUUCAUUUGCUUGUGAAAGGAUCAAGUUCAAACUUUGUAAAAUGUACUCUUGAAUUUAGGCCUAUCUGAAAGGGGAUAAUUGCUCUUCUUCCAUCUCUGGUGUUCAACACAACUUAGUUUUAUUGAUGCAUAAUGUCUUCUGCACGUUCUAUUAUUUCAUUCCUACAGGAGCACAAAAUUGAGGCUUAAUUCCUAACUUUGUUCUCUAUUCAUGUUAACAUAUUUUCUUUCUACUAUAGAUGCAAUUAUGAUGAUGAUGGCUGAGUUCCCUUU